GACGAACGCUUGCGGCGUGCCUGAGAAAUGCAAGUCGAGCGGGGUGUAGCAAUACACCUAGCGGCGAACGGUCGAGUAACACGUAAGCAACCUGCCCUGCAGUGGGGGAUAACAGCGGGAAACUGCUGCUAAUACCGCAUAGGCAUAUUUCUGGGCAUCCAGGGAUGUGUAAAGGCUAGACUGCUGCAGGAGGGGCUUGCGGCCUAUUAGCUAGUCGGUGGGGUAACGGCCUACCGAGGCGACGAUGGGUAGCUGGUCUGAGAGGAUGGUCAGCCGGAUCGGGACUGAGACACGGCCCGGACUCCUACGGGGGGCAGCAAUCAGGAAUAUUGCGCAAUGGGGGAAACCCUGACGCAGCGACGCCGCGUGCGGGAUGAAGGCCUUCGGGUCGUAAACCGCUGUUGUGGGAGACGAAUGACUGUCGAUGAGGCAGUGGAGACGGUAUCUCACGAGGAAGCCCCGGCUAACUACGUGCCAGCAGCCGCGGUAA
RNAcentral lists this ribosomal RNA (490 nucleotides) under uncultured bacterium. Its description in RNAcentral is "bacterial SSU rRNA". It matches the Rfam family "Bacterial small subunit ribosomal RNA", at positions 28 to 523 of the family's 1533-position model. The record is from RNAcentral.